GACGAACGCUGGCGGCGUGCUUAACACAUGCAAGUCGAACGGAAAGGCCCUGCUUUGGUGGGGUGCGCGAGUGGCGAACGGGUGAGUAACACGUGAGUAACCUGCCCUUGACUGUGGGAUAACUUCAGGAAACUGGGGCUAAUACCGGAUAGGAGCUCCUGCUGCAUGGUGGGGGUGGGAAAGUUUCGGCGGUUGGGGAUGGACUCGCGGCUUAUCAGCUUGUUGGUGGGGUAGUGGCUUACCAAGGCUUUGACGGGUAGCCGGCCUGAGAGGGUGACCGGCCACAUUGGGACUGGGCUACGGCACAGACUCCUCCGGGAGGCAGCAGUGGGGAAUAUUGCACUAUGGGCGGAAGCCUGAUGCAGCAACGCCGCGUGCGGGAUGACGGCCUUCGGGUUGUAAUCCGCUUCCGCCUGUGACGAAGCGUGAGUGACGGUAAUGGGUAAAGAAGCACCGGCUAACUACGUG
Molecule: ribosomal RNA, 468 nt
Filed under: uncultured bacterium
Lineage: Bacteria
Description: partial 16S ribosomal RNA
Rfam family: Bacterial small subunit ribosomal RNA
Source: RNAcentral